GAUGAACGCUGGCGGCGUGCCUAAUACAUGCAAGUCGAGCGAACAGAUGAGGAGCUUGCUCCUCUGACGUUAGAGGCGGACGGGUGAGUAACACGAGGAUAACCUACCUAUAAGACUGGGAUAACUUCGGGAAACCGGAGCUAAUACCGGAUAAUAUAUUGAACCGCAUGGUUCAAUAGUGAAAGACGGUUGGGCUGUCGCUUAUAGAUGGAUACGCGCCGCAUUAGCUAGUUGGUAAGGAAAGGGAUUACCAAUGCGACGAUGCGUAGCCGACCUGACAGGGGGGUCGCCCACACUGGAACUGGGCCACGCUCCAGACGCCUACGGGAGGCAGCAGAAGCGAAUCUUCCGCAGUGGUCGAAAGCCUGACGGAGCAGCGCCGAGUGAGUGAUGACGGUCUUCGGAUCGUAAAGCCCUGUUAUUAGGGAAGAACAAAUGUGUAAGGGACUAUGCACGUAUUGACGGUACCUAAUCAGGAAGCAACGGCUAACUACGUG
Molecule: ribosomal RNA, 497 nt
Filed under: uncultured bacterium
Lineage: Bacteria
Description: partial 16S ribosomal RNA
Rfam family: Bacterial small subunit ribosomal RNA
Source: RNAcentral